RNAcentral lists this long non-coding RNA (582 nucleotides) under Malus domestica (apple). Its description in RNAcentral is "long non-coding RNA (MDOM_LNC000744)". Lineage: Eukaryota; Viridiplantae; Streptophyta; Magnoliopsida; Rosales; Rosaceae. The record is from RNAcentral.
AGUUCAUCAGAUUUUAGGCCGAGUUAAGGAGUUUUGAAGGUAAAGGAAGCCUUCCCACAACUCCCCGAGGCCUCUAGGACAUUUUUGAAGAAGCUUGGACAUCGAAACAACCGAGUUUCGAGGAGUUCACUUUUGGCCAGAACUUUCGAGGCGUUUUUCGGCUACCUCCGUCCACUUUUUGGACUCCAAAUAGGUAUAACCCGAUUCUACUCUUCAUGAGCUUCAAAUCCAUAUAAAGUAGGUUGAAAAUGGAUGAGAAAUGAAGAAGUUAUGCUUAUUUGAAAAUUUUCCAGAAACCCGGCAAAAAUCGAGUUGCAGACGGUGACAACGACGAGGGCAAUCGGAGAAGGUGACCAAAUAUUCCGUCAGAGUUGACAGAAUAUUCCUGACAAUAUCAGGUAACGCCAUUAAUCUCUGUUAGCAUUUAAUGAAAUAUUCCGUGGAAUAUUUCUGACGGCGUCAGGCUAGCUAAUGGCACUAGCCUGCUCGCGGGGGCGUGUCUAGCCAUGCCAUUGUCGGUGCAUGGGGGCGCAUGAAGGGUCCAAAUUUUUUUCCAAAAAUAUGGGGAUAUUCGUAACGUUG